Molecule: ribosomal RNA, 207 nt
Filed under: uncultured bacterium
Lineage: Bacteria
Description: partial 16S ribosomal RNA
Rfam family: Bacterial small subunit ribosomal RNA
Source: RNAcentral
AGCGUAGGUGGGUUGGUAAGUCAGUGGUGAAAUCCCCGAGCUUAACUUGGGAACUGCCAUUGAUACUAUCAGUCUUGAAUACUGUGGAGGUUAGCGGAAUAUGUCAUGUAGCGGUGAAAUGCUUAGAUAUGACAUAGAACACCAAUUGCGAAGGCAGCUGGCUACACAAUUAUUGACACUGAGGCUCGAAAGCGUGGGGAUCAAACA